Molecule: ribosomal RNA, 574 nt
Filed under: uncultured archaeon
Lineage: Archaea
Description: partial 16S ribosomal RNA
Rfam family: Archaeal small subunit ribosomal RNA
Source: RNAcentral
GCAGUCGAAGGUCCCCGGCUCCGGGGGCCUGGCAGACGGCUCAGUAACACGUGGCCAACCUGCCCUCGGGAGGGGGAUAACCCCGGGAAACUGGGGUAAAACCCCCAUAGGUGGCGGGCUCUGGAAGGACCCGCCGCUGAAAGUGGUGUACGGGGAUGCUCCGUACACCAGCCCGAGGAUGGGGCUGCGGCCCAUCAGGUUGUUGGCGGGGUAACGGCCCGCCAAGCCUAUAACGGGUACGGGCCCUGGGAGGGGGAGCCCGGAGAUGGGCUCUGAGACAAGAGCCCAGGCCCUACGGGGCGCAGCAGGCGCGAAACCUCCCCAAUGCCCGAAAGGGUGAGGGGGCCACCCCGAGUGCCGGCCUCGUGCCGGCUUUUGCCGGGUCUAAACAGCCCGGCGAAUAAGGGGGGGGCAAGACGGGUGUCAGCCGCCGCGGUAAUACCCGCCCCCCGAGUGGUGGGGACUAUUACUGGGCUUAAAGCGCCCGUAGCCGGCCGGGUGUGUCCUCCGUUAAAUCCACGGGCCUAACCCGUGGGCUGCGGAGGAUACUACCCGGCUUGGGGGUGGGAGAGGG